GAUGAACGCUGGCGGCGUGCCUAAUACAUGCAAGUCGAGCGAACGGACGAGAAGCUUGCUUCUCUGAUGUUAGCGGCGGACGGGUGAGUAACACGUGGAUAACCUACCUAUAAGACUGGGAUAACUUCGGGAAACCGGAGCUAAUACCGGAUAAUAUUUUGAACCGCAUGGUUCAAAAGUGAAAGACGGUCUUGCUGUCACUUAUAGAUGGAUCCGCGCUGCAUUAGCUAGUUGGUAAGGUAACGGCUUACCAAGGCAACGAUGCAUAGCCGACCUGAGAGGGUGAUCGGCCACACUGGAACUGAGACACGGUCCAGACUCCUACGGGAGGCAGCAGUAGGGAAUCUUCCGCAAUGGGCGAAAGCGUGACGGAGCAACGCCGCGUGAGUGAUGAAGGUCUUCGGAUCGUAAAACUCUGUUAUUAGGGAAGAACAUAUGUGUAAGUAACUGUGCACAUCUUGACGGUACCUAAUCAGAAAGCCACGGCUAACUACGUG
Molecule: ribosomal RNA, 497 nt
Filed under: uncultured bacterium
Lineage: Bacteria
Description: partial 16S ribosomal RNA
Rfam family: Bacterial small subunit ribosomal RNA
Source: RNAcentral